This 460-nucleotide ribosomal RNA is filed under the name uncultured bacterium. RNAcentral's name for it is "partial 16S ribosomal RNA". It matches the Rfam family "Bacterial small subunit ribosomal RNA", at positions 338 to 795 of the family's 1533-position model. The record is from RNAcentral.
CCUACGGGAGGCUGCAGUGAGGAAUAUUGGUCAAUGGGCGGGAGCCUGAACCAGCCAAGCCGCGUGAGGGAAGACGGUCCUACGGAUUGUAAACCUCUUUUGCCGGGGAGCAACGGGGUCCUCGCGAGGGCCUAAUGAGAGUACCCGGAGAAAAAGCAUCGGCGAACUCCGUGCAAGCAGCCGCGGUAAUACGGGGGAUGCGAGCGUUAUCCGGUUUUAUGGGGUUUAAGGGGGGCGUAGGCGGGCUGUUAAGUCAGCGGGAAAAGGUGGGGGUCAAACCCGGGCCUGCCGUUGAAACUGGCGGCCUAGAGAGGGCGAGAGGUAUGCGGAAUGCGUGGUGUAGCGGUGAAAUGCAUAGAUAUCACGCAGAACUCCGAUUGCGAAGGCAGCAUACCGGCGCCCUACUGACGCUGAGGCACGAAAGCGUGGGUAUCGAACAGGAUUAGAUACCCUUGUAGUC